Long non-coding RNA from Urocitellus parryii (Arctic ground squirrel), 709 nucleotides. The record is from Ensembl. NCBI's taxonomy places the organism in Eukaryota, Metazoa, Chordata, Mammalia, Rodentia, Sciuridae.
AUAGGGGUGAAGGUGAAAAGAGGAGACAGGUGGGAGAGAAAACAGCGGGGGGGGGGGGGAGGGUAGGAGAGGGGACGGGUGUGACUAAUUGUCACAGAAGGCCCCCCCUCCUCAAAUCCCUUCUUAGGAAAUGUCCUCAGUUUCACCSACUACGACAUCCCUCUAAAAUAGCACUAGAGGUGGGGCAGCUAUUGUCUUCAGGCCACUGUCCCUUUUCCAAUACCUCCUAAUCCCCACUCCUAUCGGGUUCCCUGGGGCCUGUCACCAGACAAAAGAAGACAGCUGUGUGAGGGGGCGGCCUGCAGCCUCGGUGCCAGGCUGGGGCCACACCUCCACACCAGGUCCCCCAGCCCUCCUCCCUGAGGCCCAGGCGCCCAGCCUCCGCUCCCGCCCCAGGCCCCGGUGCCCAGACCCAGCCUCUUCCUAGAGGACCCCGCUCCACUGGCCGCUUCCCUCUGGUCUUAGGUCACACCAGGAUGUCGGACACCGAAGAGCAGGAAUACGAGGAGGAGCAGGCGGAAGCCCCCGAGGAGCCGGAGCCGGUGGCAGAGCGAGGUAACGCGGCUGCUCCGCUUCCCGAGGCCGCGCGACGUCCUCGGCGCCUGCACCCGCCGCCCCUGCACCCCCAGCUCCGGCCCCGCAGCCCCAGCUCCCGCCCCGCAGCCCCAGCUCCCGCCCCGCAGCCCCAGCUCCCGCCCCGCAGCCCCAG